Molecule: ribosomal RNA, 620 nt
Filed under: uncultured bacterium
Lineage: Bacteria
Description: bacterial SSU rRNA
Rfam family: Bacterial small subunit ribosomal RNA
Source: RNAcentral
CGAAGGUGUGAGGGUAAAUAAUCCUUACGCUUGACGGUACCGUCAGAGGAAGCACCGGCUAACUCCGUGCCAGCAGCCGCGGUAAUACGGAGGGUGCGAGCGUUAAUCGGAAUUACUGGGCGUAAAGGGCGCGUAGGCGGUUCAGUGCGUUGGAUGUGAAAGCCCUGGGCUUAACCUGGGAAUGGCAUUCGAUACGGCUGGGCUAGAGUAUGGUAGAGGGAAGUGGAAUUUCCGGUGUAACGGUGAAAUGUGUAGAGAUCGGAAGGAACACCAGUGGCGAAGGCGACUUCCUGGACCAAUACUGACGCUCAAGCGCGAAAGCGUGGGGAUCAAACAGGAUUAGAUACCCUGGUAGUCCACGCCCUAAACGAUGAGAACUAGCCGUUGGGGGAGUUGAAUCCUUCAGUGGCGCAGCUAACGCGCUAAGUUCUCCGCCUGGGGAGUACGGCCGCAAGGUUAAAACUCAAAGGAAUUGACGGGGGCCCGCACAAGCGGUGGAGCAUGUGGUUUAAUUCGAUGCAACGCGAAGAACCUUACCUGCCCUUGACAUCCUGGGGACCCGGGAGAGAUCCCGGGGUGCCUUCGGGAACCCAGAGACAGGUGCUGCAUGGCUGUCGUCA